GAACGGGUGAGUAACGUGAGCAAUCUGCCCCUGACUCUGGGAUAACGCUGGAAACGGCUAAUACCGGAUACGAGCUGCGAAGGCUUCAGCUGGAAAGAACUUCGGUCAGGGAUGAGCUCGCGGCCUAUCAGCUAGUUGGUGAGGUAAUGGCUCACCAGGCGUCGACGGGUAGCCGGCCUGAGAGGGUGACCGGCCACACUGGGACUGAGACACGGCCCAGACUCCUACGGGAGGCAGCAGUGGGGAAUAUUGCACAAUGGGCGCAAGCCUGAUGCAGCAACGCCGCGUGAGGGACGACGGCCUUCGGGUUGUAAACCUCUUUUAGCAGGGAAGAAGGACGGUACCUGCAGAAAAAGCGCCGGCU
This 364-nucleotide ribosomal RNA is filed under the name Microbacterium pumilum. RNAcentral's name for it is "bacterial SSU rRNA". It matches the Rfam family "Bacterial small subunit ribosomal RNA", at positions 100 to 498 of the family's 1533-position model. Lineage: Bacteria; Bacillati; Actinomycetota; Actinomycetes; Micrococcales; Microbacteriaceae. The record is from RNAcentral.